This 253-nucleotide ribosomal RNA is filed under the name uncultured bacterium. Its description in RNAcentral is "partial 16S ribosomal RNA". It matches the Rfam family "Bacterial small subunit ribosomal RNA", at positions 524 to 776 of the family's 1533-position model. The record is from RNAcentral.
UACGUAGGCAGCUAGCGUUGUUCGGCGUUAUUGGGCGUAAAGAGUGCGUAGGCGGUUUUCUAAGUUUGGUGUGAAAUCUCCCGGCUUAACUGGGAGGGUGCGCCGAAGACUGGAAGGCUUGAGUAUGGGAGAGGUAAGCGGAAUUCCUGGUGUAGCGGUGAAAUGCGUAGAUAUCAGGAGGAACACCUGCGGUGUAGACGGCUUACUGGACCAUAACUGACGCUGAGGCACGAAAGCGUGGGUAGCAAACAGG